Non-coding RNA from Cinara cedri, 605 nucleotides. NCBI's taxonomy places the organism in Eukaryota, Metazoa, Arthropoda, Insecta, Hemiptera, Aphididae. The record is from the annotation of a GenBank genome assembly.
UUCAACAUUUUGUAAUGCGUUCGCCGUAUAACCGUAACGUGACGCAGUGGUUCUACACGACAUUUUGUAGUCUGCGGCUCCCCCAUAAUGUCACCGGGCCUUGUGGCUCAUUCGUAUUCGUUUGGAUCUAUUAUAUAUGUAAACGCGAUCGAUGACGAUAAACCGAUAAAAGAAAAUUACCCGAUGGCUUAAGUAUUGGCGACGCAGUUGAGAAACAUCGGCAUUACUCAUCUACUGAGCGAAUUUUCUUCGGAUAAACGGACAUUUGGUCUUACGCAGUUAUUACGACGACGGGUUUUCGGAGAUUAACGAAAGAAACUGCAAAAAAAAAAAAACACAAAAAAACUCGCUGAAAUCGUUGAAAACCGUUCGAGAGGGAAAACGGACGGUAUAGCGUUCGGAAUUAUAUUAUUGUUGUCGGUCGUUCGAUUCUAGUAUUAAUUGGAGAAUUUUUUAUUCAAUUUAAUUAAGAAAAUUGUUAUGUUAAAUUAUGAUUUUGGGUUGGGUUUUUUCUUUGUUAAUUUUUUUUUUCACCCUCCAUUGAGAAACCUAACGCCACCGGUUUGCGCUUAUUUCACUUGUUUAAUCGCGUAAUAAACUAUAUU